GAUGAAGAACGCAGCGAAAUGCGAUAAGUAAUGUGAAUUGCAGAAUUCAGUGAAUCAUCGAAUCUUUGAACGCACAUUGCGCCCGCCAGUAUUCUGGCGGGCAUGCCUGUUCGAGCGUCAUUUCAACCCUCAAGACCCCUUCGGGGGACUUGGUGUUGGGGACCGGCUGUUCCCGGCCUGCUUCUUGCAGCGCCUUUAUGCCGCCCCCGAAAUGAAUUGGCGGCCUCGUCGCGGCCUCCCCUGCGUAGUAGCACAACCUCGCAACGGGAACGUGACGGCGGCCACUGCCGUAAAACAACCCCAAUUUUAUUAGAGUUGACCUCGAAUCAGGUAGGAAUACCCGCUGAACUUAAGCAUAUCAAUAAGCGGAGGA
Molecule: unclassified non-coding RNA, 373 nt
Filed under: soil metagenome
Description: partial contains 5.8S ribosomal RNA, internal transcribed spacer 2, and large subunit ribosomal RNA
Rfam family: 5.8S ribosomal RNA (bases 1-120)
Source: RNAcentral